This 479-nucleotide ribosomal RNA is filed under the name Neisseria sp. oral taxon 014. RNAcentral describes it as "bacterial SSU rRNA". It matches the Rfam family "Bacterial small subunit ribosomal RNA", at positions 30 to 499 of the family's 1533-position model. Lineage: Bacteria; Pseudomonadati; Pseudomonadota; Betaproteobacteria; Neisseriales; Neisseriaceae. The record is from RNAcentral.
AUUGAACGCUGGCGGCAUGCUUUACACAUGCAGUCGGACGGCAGCGGGGUAGUGCUUGCACUACUGCCGGCGAGUGGCGAACGGGUGAGUAACAUAUCGGAACGUACCGAGCAGUGGGGGAUAACUAAUCGAAAGAUUAGCUAAUACCGCAUAUAUUCUGAGGAAGAAAGCAGGGGACCUUUGGGCCUUGCGCUGUUUGAACGGCCGAUAUCUGAUUAGCUGGUUGGUGGGGUAAAGGCCUACCAAGGCGACGAUCAGUAGCGGGUCUGAGAGGAUGAUCCGCCACACUGGGGCUGAGACACGGCCCAGACUCCUACGGGAGGCAGCAGUGGGGAAUUUUGGACAAUGGGGGCAACCCUGAUCCAGCCAUGCCGCGUGUCUGAAGAAGGCCUUCGGGUUGUAAAGGACUUUUGUCCGGGAAGAAAAGCGCGAUGUUAAUACCAUUGCGUGCUGACGGUACCGGAAGAAUAGCACCGCUA